Hemibagrus wyckioides is the source of this 10297-nucleotide RNA transcript. It is a transcript of the gene named protein tyrosine phosphatase receptor type Q, with no coding region annotated. The transcript is spliced from 51 exons. NCBI's taxonomy places the organism in Eukaryota, Metazoa, Chordata, Actinopteri, Siluriformes, Bagridae. The record is from RefSeq and is a predicted model, not a curated record.
CAGACAAAAAGAAGAAGCGGUCACGAGGAAGCACGAGCCAGUUAAAAAGCAAAUUGUUUUAUUAUUUGAAUUAAUUUUUUGUGCGUUUCUUGCAGGAAGUACAGGCUUGGAAGUGAAAAUAUUUUCUUUUCCUCAUUAUGAAGUGAUUGUAAAAUAUUCAGGUGUGUAUACAGACCUAGAGAGCGCGAGACCUGAUUCAUUAAACAACUAAUAAAAAAGUUUGCUUCAGAUAGCAAUGUGAAAGUUUUGCUCAAAGGCUCCAGAUUUUUCUCACGGAUUUCUUAGACACUGGAUAUAACUAAUGGGUAAAACAGUUCCUCUGAGACUGCUGGGGUUUCUGAUACAGGUUGUGAGUUUUCCUGGUUUAUGUGGUCCAGCGUCUGUCCGUGUACAGGUGGAGUUUUGUAGCUUUCCACUCAGCCUUGAGCCUUAUUCCUACACACUUUUACUGGAAAACAAGGUGCUGAGCAGCAGUGUGGUGUGUCAAAGAGUGUGUGAGUGUAUCAUGGAUGUACGUGUACCACAGUCCUCACCUAAACUGAAUCUGACUUUACAGUCGUAUGAACAGGAUCAGAUCCUAGAGGCCAGAUUCUUCCAGCUAGUUCCUCUUCAGAACUCCUUUCUGAAGGUUGAGGUCUCUUCCACUAGUGCUCUGCUGAACUGGACUGACUGGACCAGUGAAGAGACACAGCACGUGUGUGUAGAUGGUCAGUGUUGGACGCUUUCCUCUUCUCAGCCAUCACGCUUGGUAUCAGGACUACAACCUGGAACACGCUACACAGUUACCGUAGAGCAGAAAACGUUUGUUCCACAUGUCAAUAUCACGCUCACGCAGAAGCUGCAGCUGGCCAUCGAGACAGCACGGUGUCCUCUGGGCUGGAUAGCAUCAGGAUGGAACUGUUUCCAGGUCAGACAGGAUGUUCGGACAUGGCCUGAAGCACAGCGGAUGUGUGAGAGCGUUGGUCCAGGAGUCCAUCUGGCUAGUGUGAAGACAGACAAUGACUUUCUGUCUGUCUCUGAAAAACUCCAAUCCCACAACCACCUGCUGCUGCUGUGGACAUCUCUGAAUGACCGAGGGGAAGAGGGCCGUCUCUGCUGGGCUGAUGGCUCCGCCUACAACCUGAAUGUUGCUGUAAUAUCAUCUCUCUCAGCCAAUCAGACGGACUGUUUUGCCCUCCAGAGGAACGCCACAGGACCAGGCUACUUCUUCACCAGUCUACUGUGUGAUGUCUGGCUUCCCUACCUCUGCCAUACACCAUUGGUGCAGGGGUCUUUCUCUGGCCUGUGUGUGGACAGCGUGCAGGAGACAGAAGCAGUGUUCAGCUGGUCAGACAUUUCUCAGCUCCAUUCAGCUUUUGGCUCAGUGCUCAGCCUGCAGGUUCAUGACCAGUCUGGCCGAAUCCUCACACACACUCCGUUUGACGGCACAUUGAAUAGAAAGCAUGUGAAUGGACUCUCCGCUGGACACAUCUAUUACGCCUCACUCAACCUUACACACCCCAGUGGAGCGUUUCAAACCCUCGGCCCUGUUUCCAUAGUUAAAACCAGACCAAACCCUCCACAGAACCUAAGAGUGAAUAAUGUCACAUCCACUCAGAUUGCCCUGUCCUGGGAUGCCCCUGACUCUACCCAUGAUGCUUCGUUUGAGCAAUACUUCCUGUGCUGGUUGGAUGUAGCCUCUGGAUGUGGGCGGGGCUUAUGGUUGAACAGAGGGAAUCUCAGUACUGUAAUCGUUGAACUGAAAGCUUACCAUUUAUACCAAAUCACUCUGGUGUCAGUCACAGCAGAAGGGGUGGAGAGUGCUGAGGCCACGCCCCUGGUUGUCAUCACAGAGGUUAACCCUCCACACAGCGUUUCAGUGUCUGCUACUGGGACAGAAAACGUGACCGUGUGCUGGGGGCAGCCUCCUGAUGACGAGGUUGAUGUAUUUCACAUCCAGCUCCGGCCUCACGCUCCGAGUCAGGAGCACUCCAGGGAAUUCUGGGUCAAUAACUCAGACUGUAUUACGGUGACAAAUCUUGUUCCUGGUGAGACGUAUGAUGUGGGUGUGGCUACAGAAAGGGGCAGGAACAGAAGCGUGGAGAAAACCUUACAACACACGCUGAAACCUCAGAUGGUCCGAGACGCCGUCCCGUAUGCAGUGGACAAGGACUCUGUGGUCUUGUUUGUGCAGAUGCCCACGAGAGGUGUUUAUGAUGGUCUUGCUAUAACUUACAGCAGGGUCAGCACUUGGAUUCCAAUGUCCAGUGGUAUCGGGACCAGUAAAGCAGUGGUGGGAAAUCUGAGUCCAGGAACAGUGUAUGAGUUCCAGCUGUUUGUCACCAGUAGAGGCAUGAGCAGUGACGGCUUCACUUUGCUCCCGGUUAGAACCUGUCUUGCUCCUCCAGUGCGGGUGGGUGCCGGUGUUGUGACUGACCAUUCAGUGGAAGUGCUGUGGGAUCGAGCACAAGGCCAUGAACUUGCGUAUGAAGUGCUUUGCCUGGGCUGUACUGACAAAGUUAUGGUACAGAAAGUGUCUGAGACUAGGGCAGUGAUUGAUGGUGUGAUCGCAGGAAGGCUGUGUAACAUCUCAGUGCGCACAGAAAAGGAGUCUUUCAGAGACAGUGCGCCUGUUUUCCUCCCCAUCAGAGCUUUCCCUAGCUCGGUCACUUUAGCGCCCGUUCAGAGGACAUCAUCAUCCCUGAGUGUGAGCUGGAAAGAGGGACCAGGAUUGUGUAACGCUUUCAUUCUGUCCCUCAAAAACUCCACCUACAACCUGCAGAUGAAGCUCAGUGUCUCUGAUGAGAGGUGGUAUAACUUUGAGCGUCUUCCUCCUGGGACUGUUUACACUGUCGAGGUGAUAAGUGUCAGUGGAGAGAGACACAGUUUUCCCACCGCACUUUCCCUUAAUACAUUUCCAGCACCUCCUGAUGCCAUCACCUUUAUUGAGCAGGAAGGAAAUGCCAUGUACAUCACCUGGACACGACCGCUCGGACGAGUGACCGGCUACAGGUUGUUUUACGCUCUCCAUAUGGACAAUUCUCUUCGUCGCCGAAUCAUCGUCCAUGGCAACCACAUGAGGAUAACUGACCUCAUCCCAGGAAGUGAUUACGAGUUUGAGAUCCAGUCCUUCCUGGGAGAAGAUUUCAGCCAGACUGUCAGCAAGAACUUCUCCACUAGUCCUGCAGGCGUGUGUUCUCUCUCUCUGUCACACUUCAACUCCUCAUCCGUCACACUGGCUUGGGACGUUGCUGUCGGCCAUUUUGACUUCCACAGGGUGACGGUCAGUAACGAUUCACACCGCUGGGUGUACAGCGUGAGCACAGACGCUCAGGAAUACACAGCGAGCGGCCUGCGGGACGGCUGCUCCUACAACGCCAGUGUGGAACGAGUCAGAAACACACAGAAGGGGAUAGCUGCCACUCUUACCGUACACACAGUCCCUGCUAUUCCUGAAGACGUGCAUGUGGUCAGUGUGUCUCCUCGCUCGUUCUCUCUCCACUGGGUGCCAUCCUCCGGAUGUGAUCAGCACUAUUCUGUGCAUCUUACCCCAGACCAUGGCAAUGUGACCACGAUAACUACACCAGACGGACAUGUACAGGCCAAUGUGUCCAGUGUGACUCCAGGAACACAGUACACAGUAACAGUCGGUAUAGUCGCCUCCUCAGGAACGAGGUCUGCUGUGAGCCGCUCCAUCACCACCGCUGAAUCAGUUCCUGCAGCACCCUUUAAACCAGAAGGAGAGCGAGUGGGCUCGAAUGGGAUCCUCCUCUCCUGGAAGAUGCCGCUUCCACCUGACCUCAGCAUCCACUCGUUCGUCAUCAGAUACAAGGAAAUGUGUCCACAUCCUGACUCUGUUUUCACUGAGGUCACAAAGAUCCUGGACAUCCCAGAAACGCUGCUGAACACACUCUCACCAGGGGCAACGUAUAACAUUAAGGUUGCUGCAGUGAAUAAGGCAGGAGUCGGACCCUUCAGCCAGUCACUUUACUUCAAAACUGCAGAGGCUCCUCCUGGCAUGGUAACAAACCUCACAGCUUUUGCUCAGAAUCACUCCUCAGUGGUUGUGAAAUGGUUCUUGCCUGUACGCAUUAAUGGACUCAUCACUAAGUUUGCGGUUAAAGCCAAACACGCCAGAACCGGGCAGGUGGUCCGCAUUCUGGAGCUCAACGCCGAGGAGAUCAUGAACGGAGCUCUGCCUCACUGCAACGAUGCUGCAGAUUUCCUGUCCCGUGGAACUCCAAGCCCCUCCAUAACUUCCGUAACGUCUGCAUUGCCGCCUCUCACCAUGUCAGCCAUUCCUUCCGCCUCUAUCUGGAAUGUGCCAAUCACAGUGGGAAUGGACAUGCUCCGCCCCUAUACAGCUUAUGUGUUCGAGGUGUCCGCCUUCACCAGCGAUGGGGAGGGACAAAUUGCCAGCACCAUGGUCCGCAUGCCAGAAGCUGCUCCUGAAGAUUCUCCACAGAAUUUGUCUUUAUGGAACAUCACCUCGAAAUCUCUUUCCCUGAACUGGGAGUCUCCAACCAUCAUCACAGGACGUUUUAGCUACGUCAUCCAACUCCACGGCCCUGCAGGUCUCAUUAGUGAGAACAGUACCAGUGAGCAAUCAAUUGUUUACACUGGGCUGACUCCAUACACACGCUACCACAUCGUCGUCAUGGCCAAAUCAGCCGGAGCCACUGGACCUGCUGCAGAAACCAGAAUCUUAACACCUUCAGAGGCCCCCAGCACCGUGUCGUAUCUCAGAGCAGAAGCUGUGGACUCCACAUCUGUACAUCUGUCCUGGGGAAUCCCAAACCAGCCCAACGGACUAAUCACUCGCUACCGUAUCCUCGUCCUGCACCAUGAGAUGCUUGUACAGGACAUCACACUCCGAGCACUGCAGCAGAAUGCCAGCCAGAAUGGUGCUAGUGCUGGAUCUGACCCGGGACCUAUUCUAAACUCCGCCCAGCCACGACUGUCUACAAGAGCGGCGAUCACAGGCCUGACGCUCCAGUCACGUGACUUCACACAAACAGCAGUCACGAGCCGGAUUGAGGUUCUGCCACCCACUGAAGAGCUUGUCGACUUAUCUUCCAAUCACAUCUCCUACAUCGUGACAAGACUGAGUCCUUUCACCGACUACAACUUCAGCGUGUCCGCCUUCACCACUGUAGGAGAAGGACCUGCCACUCUGACUGCACAGAAAACUAAGGAACAGGUGCCGAGCUCUGUCCAGGAUGUGUCCUACAAGAACAUCAGCUCCACCUCUAUCUUUGUGAGCUGGAAUCCACCUCUGAACCCCAAUGGGAAGAUCACACACUACACCGUCUACAUCCUCAACCUGAAAACACACAAGGCACGACAACAGGUCACGAACACCACUAACAUCAUCCUCACAGAUUUGGAUAAAUACACACAGUAUAAAGUGCGUGUGGCUGCUUGGACUGCAGCAGGCGAGAGCCCUGUGUCUGAUGAGGAUAACAUCUUCAUACUGACACCUGAGGAUGAGCCGGAUUCUCCUCCUCACACCCUGGUGCUUUUGAACACCACGUCCUCCACAGCCACCAUCACCUGGUCUCCUCCUGAUAAACCUAACGGGAUCAUCGUCUUCUACGAGGUGACCUACAGCAACUCCACCUUCAGCUACACGGUCAACUCGACUGCUCCCAGUGUCACACUGCGCCACCUCAAACCAUAUACUCUCUACAACGUCACUGCGCGUGGGUACACACGACUCGGCCAUGGGAAUCAGACCUCACCCACGCUACAGAUGCUGUCCGGGGAGGAUGUGCCUGGCAGUCCUCCAUAUGCUCUUGCCUAUGACAGCAUCAGCUCCAGCGAGGUGAACGUGUCCUGGUCGCCGCCCCUUGUGCCCAACGGAGUCAUCUUGUACUACAGUGUGGAGUACUGGAACACCACACACUCUCUGAACAUCACCACACACACACCGUCAGUGCUCCUGUCCAACCUGCGCAAGUACGCACGCUACCGCCUCAGCGUUCAAGCAGGCACUCGAGUCGGAUUGGGGAACCACAGCAGCGAAAUCCUCAACAUCACCACUCUGGAGGACGUGCCAAGUGAUACAGUCCAUAAUCUCUCGGCUCAGCUGUACGGCUCGACGGCUGUAGUGAUCAGUUGGGACCCCCCGCUGGAGCCCAAUGGUAGAGUCUUCUACCAGCUAAGCCUGCAGGAGGCGGGCAUAACCCACCCAUCCAUCAACCGCACGGAAAACCAGACCAUUACCAAGACAACCACCGACACGGUUUUCCUUUUCACCAAACUCAGAAAGUACUUCCCCUAUGUGCUACGAGUUACCCCGGCAACAAGUGCAGGCCCCGCCUUGGACCACACCUCUGUACUGCACAUGAGAACGGAUGAUGAUGUACCCAGUUCAGCUCCGUUGCUGGGUGUGAGCAGGAAUCUCACCUCCACCUCUAUCCUGGUGUCAUGGUAUGCUCCGGUGGAACCUAAUGGGGAGAUAAUCGAAUACGCCGUAGUUCUACAGGGUCCCCGAGGAUCUAACAGCACGUACACGGCCAAUUUGCAGCUCAAUCUCACACACCUCACCCCAUACACAGCCUACAACCUCUCCAUCUCUGCGGUCAAUCGCAGGGGCAUGGGACCCUCACUCAUGCUGGCUCUGCACACAGAUGAAGCAGGUCCAAUGUCUCCACCAAGAAACCUGAGCAUCUUUAACCACUCUUCUGACUCAGUGUGGCUCCACUGGGAACCCAGUCUGGAGCCCAAUGGCGUCAUUCAACAUUACGGAUUCAAAAUAGUGGAACUGAACACGAAUGCUGUUAUAUAUCAGAACUCCACCGGUGCUUCUACUCAGGCAGAAUUGCGUGGCUUCAGACCUCAUAGCUCUUAUGAGAUAAGUGUGUCCACUUACACCAGAGCAGGCAAUGGAGACCAGUACAGUCUUCCUGUAACCUUUACUACUCGCGAGUCAGUGUCUGAGGAGGUUGGAAAUCUCUCCUGUUCUGGUCUGGAUUGGGAUUCAGUGUAUAUGGAAUGGAUGCCUCCAGAAAACCCCAAUGGAGAGAUCCUGCUUUAUCACAUUGUUUCAGAAGAUCACAGACACGAGGUGUGGCCCCUUAUACUUCAAGACAAACUCGCAUACACUUUCAGCGGCCUGUAUCCGGACACGCUGUAUGUUAUCUCCGUGGCUGCCGUUAACUCCGCGGGUCCAGGGAUCGAGGCCAACUGCACAGCACAGACACUUCCUGAAUCAGUUCCUGAUCCCCCGGAGUCGCUGUCUGUGGUGAAUCUUAGCUCGGAUGCCGUGACCCUGAGCUGGCUCAGUCCUGCCCGAGUCCCCGGUCACUUACGGGGUUACAGAGUGCACAGACAGCGCCUGGCACUAGGGUGUGACAUGAAGGACGAUGAUUCCUGUGCGGAGAGUGAAGUUUUUCUGUGGGUAAAUGCGACAGAACAGGAAUCGAGGGAGGUUCGCGUAACACUGCAGCCUCUGCUUAAAUACAGACGCUAUCGUGUCAGAGUGGUGGCCUGGACCAACGCUGGAGCUGGACAACCUACAGAGUGGAUGCACAUACACACACUAGCAGGAAACCCUGACGCCCCACCAGUUGCUGUCUUGGCAGUUCCUUCGAUCUCUGGGAUGAAAAUCACUUGGGAUGAACCAGCAAUCAUUUCAGGACCCACCUCCUACCUCGUUGACGUUAUUGCUUUGGACGGCUCAGGUCGUAACACGACCUUAGUGAGGAAUGCAGGAGAAAUCAGGAUGGUCGUCAUUGAGAACCUGACCGCGUACACUUAUUACUCAGUUACUGUCACUGCCUUUACCGGAGACGUGACCAACGCCCACCAAGACGGCAUGGCCUCCCAGCCGGUCACUGUCCGGACGCUCGAAGGGGAACCAAAGGAUCCACCCAAAAACGUGACCUUGAUCAUCGUACCAGAAGAAGUGACCCGUGUGUACGUAACGUUCUUACCACCGGAUGUGCCUAAUGGUAACAUCAGUGCCUAUCAUGUUUAUAUUUACCGUGACGGACAACUCGACUUCGAGAUCGGCAGCUUGCCUGUGGUCAGUAAUCAGAACAAGACCAUGACUGCUUCUAUACAGGGUCUUAAAGGAGGCUUCAACUACAGCAUACAGAUAGCUGCAGUGAACGGAGCAGGAUUUGGACCCAGAUCAGAAGUUGAACUCAGCAUGCCAAUAAAAGCUCCACCGAUGCCCUCCAAGAAGCCAGUGGUAGCCCUGAACAGCGUAGGCGCUGUCAUGGCAACAUCCCAAACCAUCACUAUCGAGAUGCCUUUGUGUUUCUUCUCGGAUAUAAACGGUCCUAUUCACAAGAUCCAGGUCAUCGUCUCUGAGCCAGCAGUGAUGGACUACAAUAAUGUGUCUAACUGGAAGAGCGUCUUCCUUCACCCUACUGCCCCGUACGUGACGGAUGAAGGCUUUUCAAACCCGGAGUGCUCUGAGGAUCUGAGUCCUGCUGAGGAUAUGCUUCGCAAGAACGUACGUGCCAGGACAUACGCGAUAGGAGCGGAGGAAGGAUGUUUCUCAGAGGAGGCGGAGAUCCUCUGUAACGGGCCUCUCAAACCCAAAACGUACUAUGUAUUUAAAUUCCGUGCAACGAACAUCAUUGGCCAGUACACAGACUCGGAGUACUCAGACAGGGUCCGAACCGCAGGUUACCGCCUUCUGACCCGGGACGAACAGAUCAUACUUGGAGUGCUCCUGUCUUUUUUCCUGGCUUUGUUCCUGAUCUUGAUUAUAUAUGCUUCUGUGAGGAUCCAUCAGAGGCAGAAGGAGGGAGGCACCUAUUCUCCACGAGAAGCAGAGAUUAUAGAGACCAAGCUGAAGCUGGAUCAGCUGAUAGCGAUGGCAGACAUGGAGCUGAAAGAGGAGAAAAUCCAGCGAAAAUGAUACCGGUUAGACAAAAUCUGACGAGGAUCCAUUCUAGAUUCAUCCCAGUGAAGUAGUUGUUAUUAUAUAGUCAUAUGUUCCACUUUCAAUAGAAUUUCUUACUACACAAUACCACUCUGAAUAAACUUCCUCAGGUAAGGCAUCAACAUGUUUCUCUGAAUUAAAAGGCUGCUAUUAUAUUUGAACAAACUUAACUAAAACACUUGCGUUCACAUAUCACUCCUCACUCUGCUGUAUGCCCCGCCCCUUUCUUUGAUUGGCAGCACAGAUCCUCAGAGACUAUAUAAUUGAUUCAGACGGCUCUCACGUGCCGUUCUGACUUUAAGGCACUUUUCGGUUUGCAGAGAAGAUAUUUAAACAUGUUCUUAUUGUAAUUCCUCAAUGACGACAAGGCCUUAUCGGUGUUCAGACACUGCUUCAUGAUCUGACACACUAACGCACACUUUCACCAGCUCUCUGAUUCACUCACUACCCCUUGUUUUUCUCAGGUACUCCUCCUUUUUCUUUAGGAGGAAGGAGAUAUUUGUCAUCCAGUAAGUGGUUAAAAUGCUGCAGUCAUGCCUGCGGAUGCAUGAUGCAUGCUCUGGUUUCUUCGUCUUUACGAAUUUAUUUUUCGCAAUAUUCCGGUGUGGUUGUGUUGCAUUGUGUGUGUGUGUGUGUGUGUGUGUGUGUGGAUAUUCAUUAUUAAUAUAGCAGUCAUUCGGGGACUGGUUAUAACUUUAGCCUUCAUGGACUUGGCUCCAUGUUGCUGUGUGUGUGUGUGUGUGUGUGUUUUCAGUAGGUUGUUUACUAUCGUAGGAGUCUCAAUUGUAAAUCUCACAUAGGCUACAUUCACACUGCAGGUAAAAAUGGUUCAGUGUUUAUUAUUUAUUUAUUUAUUUAUUUAUAUCACCAUUUUUUAUUAUUAUUAAUUAUUUAAAUCUGUAUUGAACAAACACAUCUGAUAUGCGGCAAUUAAAUGGCAAAAAAUCUUCACAUUAAUGGAGAAGACAUCUUCAUAACCUAUUAGGAAUAAUGUAAAAACCUUAAUAGUUUUAAUUUAAGUAUUAAUGAGUAUUAAUAAAUAAAACAUCGGUAUUAAAUUGAAUCAUUAAAGAAUAAUGAACUGGACGUUUGAACUUGCAGUGAGAACGUAGCUGGGGAUUUUAUUUUGUUCUAACAUCUAACAGAAAUAACCAUUCUUGUAUCAUUUAUUUAUUUAUGGCGCAGUUUUCUAUAAUAUUUUCUAUUAACAUUUCAGGCUGCUCAGUUAUAGGAAAUCUCUCAAGCCGAUCAGUAAGAAGGCUUUCAUUCAGCACGUGGAGGAUCUUUGUGCCAAUGACAACGCCAAGUUUCACGAGGAAUUUGCUGAACUGCCGAAGCUUCUGCAUGACCUGGCAACGUCGGACGCUGACCUACCAUGGAAUCGCUCCAAAAACCGCUUCACAAACAUUAAACCCUGUA